This is a long non-coding RNA of Episyrphus balteatus (marmalade hoverfly), 1486 nucleotides long. RefSeq lists it as uncharacterized. Lineage: Eukaryota; Metazoa; Arthropoda; Insecta; Diptera; Syrphidae. The transcript has 3 exons. The record is from RefSeq and is a predicted model, not a curated record.
UGAAGGGAGGAGAUGGGAAACUUUCGUACGUUUUACCCCCCAAAACCCAUUUUCCUAAAAUUGUUUUUGUAAUUUGAACCGUGUCUGUGAAUAAAUGUGAAAAGCAACAACAAAGUGAUGAGGUGAAAAACGAGGUGAGUUUCUUUUAUUUUGACAGUUCUAUUUUUUUUUUUUCUGAAAUUAAAAUUUUCGAUAAGGAAAGUUUAUUUACAAAAUAAAUUUACUAAUGGGAGGAGAAAAACAUUCAGAAGAAGAAAAAUAUGUUUUUUUUUUUGUAAAAGCAUAUUUCGUUUUAUUUUUUGGGUUGAACUUGGAGCAAACUGGAUUCACGGUGUCAUUGGCAAUCCCAUAUUUGAGUUGGCCGUACAACAAGGGCUUGUUAAUAUUGUUAACAUACCUAAACCACAUAAAGUAGUGGCUACCACUGAAGAUGGUGCUCAAGUUCCUUUUGGUAUUCUUCAAGAAAUCUAUGAAGCCUAUGUUUGUUUUCAUGUUUUCAAUUACACAACUGAAGUUGGUGGCAAAAUUGUAUUGUGUGUGAAAUAUUUCCAGAAUGGUUUUGGUUUUGAAAACGAAAACAAGAUCGAACACACGUAUCUUUGUAUCCAUUACCAAAAAAGACGACAUGGACGACACAUUUGUUUAAAAACAAAAACUCCAGAUACAGUAGCCACAGGAUCGUUGACGGUACCAAAUUUUGCGGCGUACUUGACAUCAGUAUACUUUUUCAUUCAACACUUCCCAGCUCUGUACACAUUGAUAUGUAAAAUGACAAAAAAUAUUGCAUCAUCAACAUCCAAAGUUAAGUAAAAUUAAGUUCCGAAGUGCGUAAGCAACAAAUCAUUGAAUCCAAUAUCAGAAAAACGUAUUAUAGUUUAUUUAUUUUUCGAAGUAAUGUUGUCAAAAAAACAAAUAAAAUUAAAUGAAAAAAUGGUGGCGGCACCAGAUUAGUCCUAUUUCGUUGUCAUUAAAAAAAAAACUUUAUUAAUUUAAUUCAAAGAGUGGUGCUGGUAACGGAAACCAUUUAUGUAUUUAAGAAAAAAAAAUCUAUACAAAAACUUAUUUAGAAUUAAAUACUCGCUAAUUAAAACAAAAAAAAACUGUUAUGUGCAUUUUACGUUCCUUAAAAUAAAUCCAGACACUGCUCCUAUUUAGAUAAUAUCUGUUUUCUCUUGCUUUAUAUUUCAAUAAAUAUGUUUUUCCUUUCCAACUAUGCAUUUAAAUUGAGUAGUUUUAGUUUACAAAAAUUAAAUGUUUGUGUUCAGCAAUUUAGAGUCGAUAUAAAAAAACUGGUCGGCAAUGAAAAUAGAGCUUGAAUCAAACUCUAUUUUACUAAAGGAUUUUUUUGUCCAAACUCAAAAUUUCACUGGCUAGUCACGUUUUUGAAUUACUUGAAUAUUAACAGAUUUUUUUGGUACAUUUGAUGUCGAAUUAUAUCACCGUUUUUUUUUUUCAAAAUUCUUAUGCAAUCUCAAAAAGUCAUAUU